GCAGUGGUGGUUCAGUGGUAGAAUUCUCCUCUUCCAUGUGGGAGACCAGGGCUCAAUUCCUGACCAAUGCA
Molecule: transfer RNA, 71 nt
Filed under: Loxodonta africana (African savanna elephant)
Lineage: Eukaryota; Metazoa; Chordata; Mammalia; Proboscidea; Elephantidae
Rfam family: tRNA
About the family: Transfer RNA (tRNA) molecules are approximately 80 nucleotides in length. Their secondary structure includes four short double-helical elements and three loops (D, anti-codon, and T loops).
Source: Rfam by way of RNAcentral